GGGGCUUUUAGUCUUGCAAUUGGAAUGAGUACAAUUUAAAUCCCUUAACGAGGAUCCACUAGAGGGCAAGUCUGGUGCCAGCAGCCGCGGUAAUUCCAGCUCUAGUAGCGUAUAUUAAAGUUGUUGCAGUUAAAAAGCUCGUAGUUGAAUUUUUGUGUCGGAGCUUGCGUCUUUACCCUCGCGGGUGAAGUUCGUGUUGGUUCUGUCCUUUUUUGUGGUGGGCCGUGGGGGGUCGUUGAUUCGUCCUUCUGCGGCAAAAAGACCGCCGCAUCGUUUACUGUGAAAAAAUUAGAGUGUUUCAAGCAGGCGUUUUGCUUUUGAAUACUAUAGCAUGGAAUAAUAAGAUAGGACUUUGGUACUAUUUUGUUGGUUUGCAUACCAAGGUAAUGAUUAAUAGGGACAGUUGGGGGUAUUCGUAUUUC
RNAcentral lists this ribosomal RNA (422 nucleotides) under Babesia sp. RNAcentral's name for it is "partial small subunit ribosomal RNA". It matches the Rfam family "Eukaryotic small subunit ribosomal RNA", at positions 487 to 900 of the family's 1831-position model. The record is from RNAcentral. Lineage: Eukaryota; Apicomplexa; Aconoidasida; Piroplasmida; Babesiidae.